AACGAGUCGAUCAGUGUAACAACAUUUGGCGUUUACAAAGCUAAACUUGAGUGAUAACCAAAACAGAGUGACUAGCUGAUAUUAGCUGAAGAAUUGGAAAUUUUUUUCAAGUGUAGGAAAAGUAUAAACAAAUUAAAACAACAAAAUGCCUUGCCCAUGUGGAAGCGGUUGCAAAUGCGGUUCGGAGCCUAAGACUGGCAAUUGCGGUUGUGGUGCGGCGUGCAAAUGCUGUCCCUGUGGAAGUGCUUGCAAAUGCGGCUCACAAUCACAAAGUGGCAGCUGCGGUUGCGGCUCAAGCUGCAAAUGUGGCCAGUAGAGGAGUGCAAAUAUCCGAUAACCGUACCUUAUUAUGUUUAAGCUACAUACAUACAUACUCGUAUGUUAAUUCUAAAUUAUUUUCGUAAUUUAAUCUCGUAAUUAUACACAAACAUAUGUACAUAUAAUGAGAAAUAGUCGUUUAUACAUUAAUGUGCGUGCUUGACACCAAAAUAAGCCUAUCACAUUUCUUUAUCAAUAAAUAACAAAAUGAAAACAAAUUCCUCUAA
Bactrocera dorsalis (oriental fruit fly) is the source of this 545-nucleotide RNA transcript. RefSeq lists it as uncharacterized. Lineage: Eukaryota; Metazoa; Arthropoda; Insecta; Diptera; Tephritidae. The record is from RefSeq and is a predicted model, not a curated record. The transcript has 3 exons.